Molecule: long non-coding RNA, 448 nt
Organism: Lathyrus oleraceus (garden pea)
Lineage: Eukaryota; Viridiplantae; Streptophyta; Magnoliopsida; Fabales; Fabaceae
Exons: 2
Source: RefSeq, a predicted model, not a curated record
AAUAUGGUCAAGAUUUUAUCUCAAAUUAAGUCUAUAUAAAUAGAUAUCUAUACAAUAUACUAUGUUAUAUGUGCAAGAUGGGGUUUCAAGGGACAACGAUUAUUACUCUAACAAUGGUAUUCUUAUAUGCUUUCUUCAUCAUUGCAUCAGAAAUGAGUUUGAAAUCUGAAGGAAGGGAACUUGAUUGGCAGCCAAAAUGUCAAUUUGAUGGCGACUGUCGAAAAUGGUGUGAUAAAUAUAAAGAAUAUGGACGGUGUGUUAAUAAUUUAUGUUGGUGUUCUUAUGUACCACCUUCUGGAGAUAAUAGCCCUUUUGCAUAUAGUAGUCCUGGUUUACCUUCCUAAACUUCCAACUCAAUAUUGUAAUAUUAUCGUGUAAUAUGCAUGUAUGGAUGCGAGUAAUAAGCAAAGAAUAGCAAAUUAAUAAAAAAAGACGAUUUUUUGUUUCA